Molecule: long non-coding RNA, 424 nt
Organism: Ficedula albicollis (Collared flycatcher)
Lineage: Eukaryota; Metazoa; Chordata; Aves; Passeriformes; Muscicapidae
Exons: 3
Source: RefSeq, a predicted model, not a curated record
AAAUGGGGAUGUGGCUCAGCAGGAGACGGCAGGGGCGGGGAGGCAGAGCCUUCUCCCCGCGCCUCCCACACGGCGGAGCGGGGAGCGAUCCCCUCCUCACCCUCUCCCCUAACUCUGACCCCGGCUCAACUCUCCGGUCUCCCGGGCGGCGGAGGCAGCGCGGCUCAGCCCAACUUUGUCCCUCCAGCAGUGCAGCUUAGGGGCUGGCGAGGCGAAAAGGCCGAGCCGGGGGAUUCUCUCCGGGCGGCGGCGGCCGUGCCUAGAGCCCGCCGAGUGUCGCUGGCAGCGCGGAACAGCCCUCGGUGCCCUGCUGCCGCUGCUCCCCCGUGGUAAUCUCAUAUCUACCCAUUCACCCGUGUGGCGUGUGGAGAACCGGCCCAAGAUGGCGGCGCCCGGGCGAUUGUUUUUGUUUCCUCUCCGCCUC